Molecule: ribosomal RNA, 1042 nt
Filed under: marine bacterium AK16_044
Lineage: Bacteria
Description: bacterial SSU rRNA
Rfam family: Bacterial small subunit ribosomal RNA
Source: RNAcentral
GAACUCUUCGGAGUUAGUGGCGGACGGGUGAGUAACACGUGGGAACGUGCCUUUAGGUUCGGAAUAACUCAGGGAAACUUGUGCUAAUACCGAAUGUGCCCUUCGGGGGAAAGAUUUAUCGCCUUUAGAGCGGCCCGCGUCUGAUUAGCUAGUUGGUGAGGUAAAGGCUCACCAAGGCGACGAUCAGUAGCUGGUCUGAGAGGAUGAUCAGCCACAUUGGGACUGAGACACGGCCCAAACUCCUACGGGAGGCAGCAGUGGGGAAUCUUGCGCAAUGGGCGAAAGCCUGACGCAGCCAUGCCGCGUGAAUGAUGAAGGUCUUAGGAUUGUAAAAUUCUUUCACCGGGGACGAUAAUGACGGUACCCGGAGAAGAAGCCCCGGCUAACUUCGUGCCAGCAGCCGCGGUAAUACGAAGGGGGCUAGCGUUGCUCGGAAUUACUGGGCGUAAAGGGAGCGUAGGCGGACAUUUAAGUCAGGGGUGAAAUCCCGGGGCUCAACCUCGGAAUUGCCUUUGAUACUGGGUGUCUUGAGUAUGAGAGAGGUGUGUGGAACUCCGAGUGUAGAGGUGAAAUUCGUAGAUAUUCGGAAGAACACCAGUGGCGAAGGCGACACACUGGCUCAUUACUGACGCUGAGGCUCGAAAGCGUGGGGAGCAAACAGGAUUAGAUACCCUGGUAGUCCACGCCGUAAACGAUGAUUGCUAGUUGUCGGGAUGCAUGCAUUUCGGUGACGCAGCUAACGCAUUAAGCAAUCCGCCUGGGGGAGUACGGUCGCAAGAUUAAAACUCAAAGGAAUUGACGGGGGCCCGCACAAGCGGUGGAGCAUGUGGGUUUAAUUCGAAGCAACGCGCAGAACCUUACCACCUUUUGACAUGCCUGGACCGCCAGAGAGAUCUGGCUUUCCCUUCGGGGACUAGGACACAGGUGCUGCAUGGCUGUCGUCAGCUCGUGUCCUGAGAUGUUUGGGUUAAGUCCCGCAACGAGCGCAACCCUCGCCAUUAGUUGCCAUCAUUUAGUUGGGAACUCUAAUGGGACUGCCGGU